AAGUCGUAACAAGGUUUCCGUAGGUGAACCUGCGGAAGGAUCAUUAACACGUAUCCAAACGUUAACCCCCCUGUGAACCUUUAGUGUGCUCGUACCUUUGUCAGAGCGUGGCAAUCCCUAGUAAAUCAUCGCCGAACAGUUUUCGAUUCAGGGACGUCUGCAAGGAGCGUGCAUGUUGUGCGAAGCAAGUGGCCUGGCAUCCCCAAGCAGUUAGUGUCUGAAAGUGUCACUAACGUUAGUGUCUGAAAGUGUCACUAACAUGUGUAAGGAUGACGCAGUCACGAUCGUUGGAGGCCCACACGGCCGACGACCGGGUCACUGGGUGCAAGCCCCCUUAUCACACCCCUGCUCUAUCUAUGGUGAUCCUGCGGGAAGUCCUGCGGUCGAACGCCGAAACCGAACAACUGUUAACAAUGGAUAUCUUGGUUCUC
RNAcentral lists this unclassified non-coding RNA (431 nucleotides) under fungal sp. Its description in RNAcentral is "partial internal transcribed spacer region". The stretch from base 1 to 46 matches the Rfam family "Eukaryotic small subunit ribosomal RNA", at positions 1786 to 1831 of the family's 1831-position model. Lineage: Eukaryota; Fungi. The record is from RNAcentral.